Rhopalosiphum padi (bird cherry-oat aphid) is the source of this 399-nucleotide long non-coding RNA. RefSeq lists it as uncharacterized. The transcript is spliced from 2 exons. The record is from RefSeq and is a predicted model, not a curated record. NCBI's taxonomy places the organism in Eukaryota, Metazoa, Arthropoda, Insecta, Hemiptera, Aphididae.
AGUUAAUAUUAUCACAGAACUAUGUAACCAUGGUUGAAAUACAUACAUCUUAGAAUAUAGUGAAUAUACCUUAUAAUUUAUAAAAGCUUCCAAUAUUGGUAAGGAAAGUAAGGAUUAGUUAAGUUCAAAAUUUAAUUAAAACAAACAAACACAUACACAAUACUUGUAAGUAGUCAAUUAAAGUUUAUUAAUAAUUUAUUUUAAUAGAUGUUCAAACUGAUGACCAUCUACUUCCAAACAAAUUGCCAGUCGUUUAAAUCAUUUACAUUAGCAGGCAUUUCUUUGUAAACUACACUUUGAAGAUAACCCCAAAGAAAAUAAUAUGGCGAAGUCAGAUCGGGACUACGAGGUGGCCAACAUAUUUUUGGACUGUACGUUCCCAUCCAAUUUGUACCAAAA